AGAAGAUUUGCUUUUAGAGUUCUGCCCUCAGUUUGCAGAGAGCUCCUUCAUGCUGAAUUAAUUUGUUCUCUGUCAAACCUGUUUUGUUUUUCGCUGGAGCCCUGGGAGUGGGAGAACCCAACUCCCAGAAAUGUGUGUGCAUCUCUUCUCCUGCGUGGGGCACUCCCGUGCCAAUAAAUCCAAACCAUCACCCUGCAAACCCUCUGAAGGAACACAGCCCUCCCAGCCUCAGCUGCAUCCAGGGAUGGCUCUGGAGCCCAGCCAUUCCCAAGGGAUGUGGUUCCAGCCAGCGUUCUGGGCCAUCCACAAAGCCAUUCCCUUCAUUUGGCCGGGAAAAACUCCUUGAAUUUUGGGAGAUGUGGAGCCUUCUCCUCCUUUUCCUCUCCUGUCCUCUGGCAGGCAGGAGCUAAAGGUGGUGGGAUGCUGCAGGGACAGUUCUGUUCUCUCUUAUAAUGUGGUUUGUGUUGGGGACAGUGUUGGAAACUGGGAAAACAGGUUACUCAGAGCCUGCUACUAA
This is a long non-coding RNA of Cyanistes caeruleus (blue tit), 517 nucleotides long. RefSeq lists it as uncharacterized. Lineage: Eukaryota; Metazoa; Chordata; Aves; Passeriformes; Paridae. The record is from RefSeq and is a predicted model, not a curated record.